UACGUAGGUGGCAAGCGUUGUCCGGAUUUACUGGGCGUAAAGAGCGCGCAGGCGGUCCGAUCAGUCGAAUGUGAAAGCCCCCGGCUCACUGGGAGGGUCAGUUCGAUUACUGUCGGACUCGAAGGCAGGAGAGGGAAGCGGAAUUCCCGGUGUAGUGGUGAAAUGCGUAGAUAUUGGGAAGAACACCUGAGGCGAAGGCGGGUUGCUGGGCCGACACUGACGCUGAGGAGCGAAAGCGUGGGGAGCAAACAGG
Molecule: ribosomal RNA, 253 nt
Filed under: uncultured bacterium
Lineage: Bacteria
Description: partial 16S ribosomal RNA
Rfam family: Bacterial small subunit ribosomal RNA
Source: RNAcentral